This 738-nucleotide non-coding RNA is filed under the name Pongo abelii (Sumatran orangutan). The record is from RNAcentral. Lineage: Eukaryota; Metazoa; Chordata; Mammalia; Primates; Hominidae.
CAGCAUGGAGAGCAGAGCGCAAAGAUUUCCUCCAGACUCCCACAUUCUCCCUUGGAAUCCAAGAACUUGUCUACUAUCACAACACUUUAGUACCCACUUCUCCUAAGGAGGCAGCAGAAACCAAGGUAAUCACAAUGGUCAACAGCAGCGAAGGCAGCACUUUCUGAUUUUAAACUUGACUGCUAUGGAUGCCACCUCAGUUUAAUAUCUGUAAGUUUGCUUUUUCAGGUGCUCAGGAGGAGAAGGUGAACUGGCUGUGUGUAGUAUGGUAAAUAAAGGGGCCGGGCUACCUUUCAGAGGUUUGGCACACUGAGUGACUUAUGUCCUGACCAGAGACCUGGGCUAGGAACUUCGCCCCACAGCCUGGAUGCCUGGGACCUUGGUCCGAUUUGCAAACAACAGCUCCAUAUGAAGAAGCUUUGUCACAAUAGUUAUAAUUAUAGCAACCAUCCAGAGGAUGCUGCAUCCUAAAUAUCCCUCAGCAGUAAUCCAGGACCUGAAUGCCUAUGAAGUUCACUCCUUUGGCCCCACUCCCUUCCUGCUGCCUUUGGGCUCUCCUCAUGUGACUCUGCCUGUUGAAACUGUCUGCUAGCCGGCCCAGCAUCUCCAGGCAUGGCCUCACUCAUCUAUCUCUCUCUUGCCGAAGGUCUCCUCAUGUAACACAUGAUUCCUUUAGAUGGUCCUUCAUCACUAGCAAGAUGAAACCUAAAUUCAUUGGCAUGGUAGACAAGACUCUAG